AUACGGAGGGUGCAAGCGUUAUCCGGAAUCAUUGGGUUUAAAGGGUCCGCAGGCGGAUUAAUAAGUCAGUGGUGAAAUCCUCUCGCUCAACGAGAGAACUGCCAUUGAAACUGUUAGUCUUGAAUUCGGUCGAAGUAGGCGGAAUGUGUCAUGUAGCGGUGAAAUGCAUAGAUAUGACACAGAACACCGAUAGCGAAGGCAGCUUACUAGACCUGGAUUGACGCUCAUGGACGAAAGCGUGGGGAGCGAACAGCAUUAGAAACCCUUGUAGUCC
This 274-nucleotide ribosomal RNA is filed under the name uncultured bacterium. RNAcentral's name for it is "partial 16S ribosomal RNA". It matches the Rfam family "Bacterial small subunit ribosomal RNA", at positions 523 to 796 of the family's 1533-position model. The record is from RNAcentral.